This 458-nucleotide ribosomal RNA is filed under the name uncultured bacterium. RNAcentral's name for it is "bacterial SSU rRNA". It matches the Rfam family "Bacterial small subunit ribosomal RNA", at positions 30 to 473 of the family's 1533-position model. The record is from RNAcentral.
AGUGAACGCUGGCGGCAGGCCUAACACAUGCAAGUCGAGCGGCAGCGCGUCCGACCACCCUCGGGUGGUCGGAUGGCGGCGAGCGGCGGACGGGUGAGGAAUGCAUCGGAAUCUGCCUCGUUGUGGGGGAUAACGUAGGGAAACUUACGCUAAUACCGCAUACGACCUACGGGUGAAAGUGGGGGACCUUCGGGCCUCACGCGAUGAGAUGAGCCGAUGCCGGAUUAGCUAGUUGGCGGGGUAAAGGCCCACCAAGGCGACGAUCCGUAGCUGGUCUGAGAGGAUGAUCAGCCACACUGGAACUGAGACACGGUCCAGACUCCUACGGGAGGCAGCAGUGGGGAAUAUUGGACAAUGGGGGCAACCCUGAUCCAGCCAUGCCGCGUGUGUGAAGAAGGCCUUGGGUUGUUAAGCACUUUUAGUUGGGGUAAGGAAACCGGACCGGGUUAAGUACCCGU